This 78-nucleotide transfer RNA is filed under the name Podarcis lilfordi (Lilford's wall lizard). RNAcentral's name for it is "tRNA.Ile". The stretch from base 6 to 64 matches the Rfam family "tRNA", at positions 8 to 63 of the family's 71-position model. From Rfam's summary of the family: Transfer RNA (tRNA) molecules are approximately 80 nucleotides in length. Their secondary structure includes four short double-helical elements and three loops (D, anti-codon, and T loops). The record is from RNAcentral. Lineage: Eukaryota; Metazoa; Chordata; Lepidosauria; Squamata; Lacertidae.
GCAGGUAGCUCAGGUGGUUAGAGCUUGGUGCUGAUAACGCCAAGGUUGCAGGUUCGAUUCUUGUAUGGGACAGCUGCA